AUUGAACGCUGGCGGCCGGCCUAACACUUGCAAGUCGAGCGGCGCGGCGGUCGGGGGAGUAAUGACUAGGAAUCUGCCAGGUAGAGGGGGAUAACGUCCGGAAACGGGCGAUAAUACCGCAUAAUAUCAGAUGACAAUAGGACGGAUUAGCUAGUUGGUGGGGUAAAGGCCUACCAAGGCGACGAUCCGUAUCUGGUCUGAGAGGAUGAGCAGUCACACUGGAACUGAGACACGGUCCAGACGCCUACGGGAGGCAGCAGUGGGGAAUAUUGGCAAAUGGGCGAAAGCCUGAUCCAGCCAUGCAGCGUGUGUGAAGAAGGUCUUCGGAUUGUAAAGCACUUUUAGUUGAGAGGCGUUACCAACAGAAUAAUCACCGGCUAACUUCGUGCCAGCAGCCGCGGUAAUUC
This 407-nucleotide ribosomal RNA is filed under the name uncultured bacterium. RNAcentral's name for it is "partial 16S ribosomal RNA". It matches the Rfam family "Bacterial small subunit ribosomal RNA", at positions 30 to 526 of the family's 1533-position model. The record is from RNAcentral.